ACCCCAUAUAAGGAUCAGAGAACUAAGUUAGGAAGUCAACCAAAAUAUAGAUUCAUGUACACAAGGUACCAUGGUGAUCUUAGAUCAAAGGAUCACUUACACAACUCCCACUAGAGAAUCAUCAGCUGACAUAUAAAUAAAACUUCAUCAGAUGUUCUCUCUUAGGUCUCUUCACUGAACUCAUUCUCUAAUGAGCACCCACAUCACCACAUAAGUAGUUAUGAGAUCAAC
This 231-nucleotide long non-coding RNA is filed under the name Elaeis guineensis (African oil palm). RNAcentral describes it as "long non-coding RNA (EGUI_LNC048471)". The record is from RNAcentral. Lineage: Eukaryota; Viridiplantae; Streptophyta; Magnoliopsida; Arecales; Arecaceae.